Molecule: non-coding RNA, 24 nt
Filed under: Arabidopsis thaliana (thale cress)
Lineage: Eukaryota; Viridiplantae; Streptophyta; Magnoliopsida; Brassicales; Brassicaceae
Source: RNAcentral
UUAGCGUGUGCUUUAUUUAAUGUU